AUGGUCUGGAACAAAAAACAAAACAAAACAAAACAAAACAAAACAAAACAAAACAUGUAUCUCAAUCCAAACCCACAGGGCAAUUUCCUGAGAAAUGGGCCAGAAUUAGCACUGCUGUGUCAUUCUGUGACCCAGUUUUUGCACAUUGUGGAAGCAGCUGUUCUUAGGGCUGAACUCAGAUCUAACAAGCUGACACCACAACACCACCUGUUGCAGAGCUCAGCUGAAGGCUGGAAUCUGUCCUCUUGUGAGACACUUUCACAGAAUCACAGAAUCACAGAAUUUCUAGGUUGGAAGAGACCUCAAGAUCAUCGAGUCCAACCUCUGACCUAACCCUAACAGUCCCCACUAAAACAUAUCCCUGAGCUCUACAUCUAAACAUCUUUUAAAGACCUCCAGGGAUGGUGACUCCACCACUUCCCUGGGCAGCCUGUUCCAAUGUCUAACAACCCUUUCGGUAAAGAAGAUCUUCCUAACAUCCAACCUAAAACUCUCCUGGCGCAACUUAAGCCCAUUCCCCCUCAUCCUGUCACCAGGCAUAUGGGAGAACAGGCCAUCCCCCACCUCGCUACAGCCUCCUUUGAGGUAUCUGCAGAGAGUGAUAAGGUCGCCCCUGAGCCUCCUCUUCUCCAGGCUGAACAAGCCCAGCUCCUUCAGCCGCUCCUCGUAGGACUUGUUCCCAGGCCCCUCACCAGCUUCGUCACCCUUCUCUGGACCUGCUCAAGCACCUCGAUGUCCUUCUUGUAGUGAGGGGCCCAAAACUGAACACACUACUCGAGGUGCAGCCUCACCAGAGCCGAGUACAGGGGGAAAAUCACUUCCCUAGCCCCGCUGGCCACACUGCUUCUUAUACAAGCCAGGAUGCUGUUGGCCUUCUUGGCCACCUGAGCACACUGCUGGCUCAUAUUCAGCCGACUAUCAACCAAUACUCCCCGGUCCCUCUCCACCAGGCAGCUUUCCAACCACUCAUCUCCCAGCCUGUAGCUCUGCUUGAGGUUAUUGUGCCCCAGGUGCAGGACCCGGCACUUGGCCUUGUUGAACUUCAUGCAGUUCUCCUCAGCCCAUCGGUGCAGCCUAUCCAGAUCCUCCUGCAGAGCCUUCCUACCCUCGAGCAGAUCGACACACGCACCUAACUUGGUGUCAUCUGCAAACUUACUGAGGGUGCACUCAAUGUCCUCAUCCAGAUCAUCGAUGAAGAUAUUAAAGAGGACCGGCCCCAGCACCGAGCCCUGGGGAACGCCACUAGUGACUGGCCUCCAACUGGACUUGC
Molecule: long non-coding RNA, 1270 nt
Filed under: Anas platyrhynchos platyrhynchos (common mallard)
Lineage: Eukaryota; Metazoa; Chordata; Aves; Anseriformes; Anatidae
Description: lncRNA (ENSAPLG00000020100.1)
Source: RNAcentral